RNAcentral lists this ribosomal RNA (429 nucleotides) under uncultured bacterium. RNAcentral's name for it is "bacterial SSU rRNA". It matches the Rfam family "Bacterial small subunit ribosomal RNA", at positions 355 to 776 of the family's 1533-position model. The record is from RNAcentral.
UGGGGAAUUUUGCGCAAUGGGCGAAAGCCUGACGCAGCAACGCCGCGUGGGUGAUGAAGGUCUUCGGAUUGUAAAACCCUGUCGUCAGGGACGAAGGUUGUGUUCAUAAUACGGGCGCAACUUGACGGUACCUGGAGAGGAAGCCCCGGCUAACUCUGUGCCAGCAGCCGCGGUAAUACAGAGGGGGCAAGCGUUAUUCGGAAUUACUGGGCGUAAAGGGCGCGUAGGCGGUUCUUUAAGUCGGAUGUGCAAUCCCCGAGCUCAACUUGGGAACUGCAUCCGAAACUGGGGAGCUAGAGUACUGGAGAGGGUGGUAGAAUUCCACGUGUAGCGGUGAAAUGCGUAGAGAUGUGGAGGAAUACCAGUGGCGAAGGCGGCCACCUGGACAGUAACUGACGCUGAGGCGCGAAAGUGUGGGUAGCAAACAGG